Molecule: ribosomal RNA, 382 nt
Filed under: uncultured soil bacterium
Lineage: Bacteria
Description: bacterial SSU rRNA
Rfam family: Bacterial small subunit ribosomal RNA
Source: RNAcentral
AGGAUGAACGCUGGCGGCGUGCUUAACACAUGCAAGUCGAACGAUGAAGGCUGGAGCUUGCUCUGGCUGGAUUAGUGGCGAACGGGUGAGUAACACGUGAGUAACCUGCCCCAGACUCCGGGAUAAGCGCUGGAAACGGCGUCUAAUACCGGAUACGAGCUUCCACCGCAUGGUGAGGAGCUGGAAAGAAUUUCGGCCUGGGAUGGACUCGCGGCCUAUCAGCUUGUUGGUGAGGUAAUGGCUCACCAAGGCGACGACGGGUAGCCGGCCUGAGAGGGUGACCGGCCACACUGGGACUGAGACACGGCCCAGACUCCUACGGGAGGCAGCAGUGGGGAAUAUUGCACAAUGGGCGCAAGCCUGAUGCAGCAACGCCGCGUGA